AAAGUCGUAACAAGGUUUCCGUAGGUGAACCUGCGGAAGGAUCAUUAAUAUUCACGUUUUUGUUCUAAACAAACAAAUAAACGUAAAUAAACCAUUCAAACUUAAUUGUGGAAUCUUUAAAAUUUACGGAUGCAUGUAUUAUGCGAUGUAAUCCUUCUUUUCUGAAGAGGGAUGAAAAUAAAGGGACUUCAAACAUAUUUCGGUAUGUUUGACACUUCAGAUUUGUAGAGCAGUGAAGUGCGACCAGGUUCUGAAAAACUGCAUAAUGUAUCCGGUUAACCCUUCUGUUCUACUAUUUUUCUAUCAAACUUUAUAAACCCCAUGUUUAACAACCUGAACUAAACCAUUUUUAUUUUCUAGUCUUCGGACUGUGAGAUAAAAACAAAUCUGAAAUUAAGAACAACUCUUAACAACGGAUAUCUUGGUUCUC
RNAcentral lists this unclassified non-coding RNA (430 nucleotides) under Cercozoa sp. Its description in RNAcentral is "partial contains small subunit ribosomal RNA, internal transcribed spacer 1, and 5.8S ribosomal RNA". The stretch from base 1 to 47 matches the Rfam family "Eukaryotic small subunit ribosomal RNA", at positions 1785 to 1831 of the family's 1831-position model. The record is from RNAcentral. Lineage: Eukaryota; Cercozoa.